Lasiosphaeria hispida is the source of this 98-nucleotide non-coding RNA. The record is from the annotation of a GenBank genome assembly. Lineage: Eukaryota; Fungi; Ascomycota; Sordariomycetes; Sordariales; Lasiosphaeriaceae.
GGCAGCUUGGCCGAGUGGUCCAAGGCGGCGCAUUUAAGGUCUUCUUCCUUAUCUCUGCGCUCUCGAAAGAGGCGCGGGUUCGAACCCCGCAGCUGCUA